RNAcentral lists this ribosomal RNA (484 nucleotides) under uncultured bacterium. RNAcentral describes it as "partial 16S ribosomal RNA". It matches the Rfam family "Bacterial small subunit ribosomal RNA", at positions 28 to 523 of the family's 1533-position model. The record is from RNAcentral.
GACGAACACUGGCGGCGUGCUUAACACAUGCAAGUCGAACGAUGAAGCUGGAGCUUGCUCCGGUGGAUUAGUGGCGAACGGGUGAGUAACACGUGAGAAAUCUGCCCUUGACCCUGGGAUAACGGCGGGAAACUGUAGCUAAUACCGGAUAUUUUCCUUGGUGGGCAUCCACUGGGGAAGAAAGAAUUUCGGUCAAGGAUGAUCUCGCGGCCUAUCAGCUAGUUGGUGAGGUAAUGGCUAACCAGGGCGCCGACGGGUAGCCGGCCUGAGAGGUGGACCGGCCACACUGCGACUGAGACACGGCCCAGCCUCUUACGGGAGGCAGCAGUGGGGAAUAUUGCACAAUGGGCGCAACCCUGAUGCAGCAACGCCGCGUGAGGAAUGAAGGCCCUCGGGUUGUAAACCUCUUUUAGCAGGGAAGAAGCGAAAGUGACGGUACCUGCAGAAAAAGCACCGGCUAACUACGUGCCAGCAGCCGCCGUAA